UUCUAGUGAGAAAGAAAAAACUUUCAUUUGAUGAAACAUGGUUACAAGGUUCACAAGUCCAUAAUAAAAGGCUUUACUAAAUAACUCCAACCCAACCCUGGACACCAAAGACACAUACUCAACCAUCCUGGAGCCCUAGAACUAAAAGGGUCUCGCCUGACCCACUCCAACAUAAUCCUCUCCAACAGCAUCCAUGGCAGGGACCAAGCCGUCAUCAUCAACAUGAGAUGGGGGAAAGAAUCAGGAGAAUGGCAUUGCCGAAAGAAUCAGGAGAUGGCAUCGCAGUACACGGGCGUCAUAGUCUCAUUUAGCCCAGUCGAAGGUGGUGACCAACCGGUACCUACACUUAUGCCAACUGAUAGGGAGAAACCCUAAGAGUAGAAAUUGAUACUGUUGAUUGUUGAUUUGCACCAGAAUCCUCUCCUUGAAACGCAAUAACCACAGAGUACAGACCAUACAUACCCAACUUAUACACACCCAACUUUUGAU
RNAcentral lists this unclassified non-coding RNA (489 nucleotides) under Hevea brasiliensis (rubber tree). Lineage: Eukaryota; Viridiplantae; Streptophyta; Magnoliopsida; Malpighiales; Euphorbiaceae. The record is from RNAcentral.